CCAUGAACUGACAGUAUUUCAGGAGCCGAGUGUGGACGGGAUCAGAUGCUGCUGCUGAGUUCUCGAAGCAUGGAUGUUUGCAGAAAGCUUGUAACAAGAAACCUUCAGAGAUCUUCAUAGGACACUUGGUCAGUGGAUGUCCUCAGGCUACUCCUUUCAAGGCAAUGACUACCCUAACACCAUAGACAUUAAUCAGUAGGCCAACAACUAAGAUUAUAAAGGAGUCAAUGGACAAUCGAGAUUCCUUUAAUUCUAAGGAGAAAAUCCUUUUUCUAUAGCCGUAACAAGAAAAAGGAGCCCCAAGAGAAUAGUGUGAGGAGUCAUAUGGUUGGUGUGUGUAGGUAUCCUCAAGCUUAAAGACUAAGAGAAUAGUCACAAAUGGACUUGAUCACAUGAUAUUCCAAGACUGGUGAUCACCUUGCAUCUCGAAGACAUCUUCAUUGGAAGUAUCCAGAUUGUUAAGCUAACUUUUGCCUGGACAACUUCAUCUGCAAUGUUGACUGCUGUAUGUAGCUCUUUGGGAAACCAACAACCAGAAGCUCCUGGUUCCCCAGCCACCUCUGAGCUCUCCCUGAAGUCAUAUACCAUCCCCUCAGACUCUGAUCCAGGACUUUCUCUUCAGCAAGAGUCACCCCAAGAACCAUCCUAUACUCCUCCUGAGAGAUACACCUCUCUUUCUUCUGUACGAAUUCCCUGUCAAACAUUUGCAGGCCGAGAAUCUGCUGAGAGCGCUUCAUUUACCAAGUUUCUGCACCCAUCCUUUGAGAUGUCUCACCCAUAUGAAUCCUGGAUGAGACCUCCACCCUCAGGGGCUCCUGGUGAAGAGGCUGGUGUUCCUUCAUGGUGGGAUCUCCAUGCUGGCUUCAGUUGGAUGGAUACGCAGCCUGGAACUGGAGGUUUUACUACAACUUCACCCCACCCAGGUGUAUAUGGCUCUGAGCUGUGUAUUCCCCCGGCAAACAUGCUCCCUCCUACACCGCAUCUCAUGGGAGCAUUGGAAGCCACAAUGGAAUCUCACGCUGCUGAACAAAGUUCAGAUAGUUCCCCUCGUCCAAAAAGUGCCAGGCGAGCAAUGCCACGUAGCUCUGCCCAAACUGCCUGUCGUUGUCCCAACUGCCAGGAAGCAGAACGUGUUGGUACCAGCGGAGAUGUAACAAAGAGAAAAAAUAUGCACAACUGCCACAUCCCAGGCUGUGGGAAAGCAUAUGCCAAAACCUCCCAUCUAAAGGCUCACUUACGCUGGCACAGUGGUGAUCGUCCUUUUGUCUGUAACUGGCUCUUCUGUGGCAAGAGAUUCACCAGAAGUGAUGAGCUGCAAAGACACCUUCAGACCCAUACUGGAGCAAAAAAAUACCCUUGCCCUUCCUGUAGUCGUGUAUUCAUGAGAAGUGAUCAUCUCACCAAACACAUGAAGACCCAUGAUGGAGAGACCCGGGGGUCCACAGAGGCUUCUAGUAAGGCUAAGAGGGAGCCUGAAGAGAGUACUAGUAGUCAUACAAACUGAGACCCCUUCCCGUCUGAUUGAGAAAGCUCUGUGAUGGUGUGAGGUGUCUUUUCCAACAUGAUGCUUCACUGUACAGUGCUUGAUUUGUGGAGAAGCUCCUAUUACAUGUUAAUUUAUUUGUAGAUAGACUGUUGCUUCUGACAUUACCACAUACUGUUCCAGGAGUAGAGCAAGAGGGGCCAGUACAUGCGGCAUAGGGAAAUCUAGAGAAAUUCUAGGGGCAGAGAAGAGGAGAUCAGCUGAUAUUAAAUGGGAAAGGAGAAUCCUUAGGGCUUGUAGUUCUGCAAUAUUAGAUAAUCGCAGGGUGCCUAAAAUAGUUUUGAAGAUCGGAUAAAGCAUUUCACCAUAGGAAAAAAUAAAUAAAGAAGGCUGUGCACAGAGUAUUAUAUCUUUUUCACGGGCUUCACUUUAACUCUUUCGUUUUUCCCAGAGUUCACGGAUUACAGGGAACACCCACUGUGAGGGGCUGCCCCUCCCGCAGAGUCUCCUCAUGUUAUGGGGGGAAUGUCUCUAUAAAACUGGGUGUGGAGGGAUAUGGGCAGAGAACAACUCCACACCCAGUGAGGCAGCGGCACGCACUGGCUGCACCCAGGGGACCUGUAGGGUGCUUUAUUAACCCCUUCCAUGCUAUUAGUUGGCUAGUCACUGUUUGGAACCCAGGUGAUCUGUAAGCAGCUUAAUUAAUCAAAUGGUGUGUUCAUAUUUUGUUUCUGCCAAGGACUUUGCUUGCUUCAAUUUCUGCAUAUGUGACAACAUUGCUCGUAAACAUAUUUGCCAGUGUACAAUUGUCUUCAUUAUGUGCAUCAGGCUUUCUAUGGGUUAAAAGAUGUUCUUACUCAAAAGCUCUUUGUUAUUGCGACCCUGAAGGGCUGCCAUUACCUUAAAAAGGGGUCUACACGAUGCCAAUUGAUUAUUAGAAAAGUAAUUCACAGUUACGGCAACCCUUAAAAGCUGCUCCAUGAAUUUGUUCGACAUUUUGGAACCAGUCUCCUGUCCAGCCUUUGCAGGUUUAUAUUAUUUAUUAGAACCAGUCCAGUGGGAGGCCUGGAGUGGGAUACGGCCAGUAACUAAUCAUAUGUACUUUAUUAUGCUUGACAUGUGACUUGAAUGAAUUCCGCUCUUAACAAUGUGACAUGUUCAAACUUCAUUUACUACCCAGAAGGAGCUGAUGUUGGACCCAUUGUAGUUCAUCGCAUUGUAAAUAGGCUAUAUUUAUAGGUAGUUUGGCGCUUUUAAGUUAAAAACACAAACACUUCUCCUCUUUUUAAAAUCCCUACUUUCCGAAGGGUCUCUUGACAAUAAGAUGAGCACAAAGUGUCCUGCUGCUGGAAACUCCCGAAUCAGCAGUAAUCUUUGGGAAACUCGCCUGUAAGUAUUUAACCUCUUUGUAGCGCCACCACAGGGCAAACUAAGAAUGACACAGUGCCCAUUCAGAUCGGUGCACGGUCUGCAUAAUGCUGGAGGGAACGUCUCCUUCCCAGUGAGAUGUUCUCUUUGCAACCUCUGUAUACUAUGGGCCAGGACAUGAGAAUCCUAAACAGGGGACCCUCCUUCUAUCAAAGAGGACCUGUCACCACUAAAUGCAGUGCAAUCUGCAGGCAACAUGUUAUCGAGCAGGAGGAGCUUAGCAGAUUGAUCGUUUUAUGGAGAAAAAAUUAACAAUAACUUGGUAUUUCAUUCAUUUAACUCUCUGCUGUAUCUGACUUCACUUGUGCACGCAGGUCAUUUUACCAACGGUCCCGCUUUCAGCUGUCUUUGUUUCCAUAGGACGCAGAGACAGCUGAUUUUAAGCUCUCCGCUCCCCACUUCACCAUUUACCUCAGCUGCCCCUCCACCACUUUCCACUUGCUUGCAGCGUUUUGGUGUCCGCCUGACGAUGCGGAGCCAAACGGAUUAGCAGUGGAGAGAACAUACUGCGACUGGUUUAAUGUAAGAGGCUGAGAGCUUGGGAUAUGUUGGGGGCUGUAGUUCUCCUGGUUGGAGGGAGGGAGUGGUUAUUUGCCUAGCACUAGGGGAGUGAUGUUAUCUACAUGGGACUGUAUGUUGGAGGGGGCUGGAGGGAGGGAAUGAUGAUAUUUACAUGGGACUGUACAUUGGAAUAGGCUGAAGAUAGAUAGUGAUGUUAUGUACAUGGGACUGUAUGUUGGAGGGGCUGAAAGGAGGGGCGCGAUGUUAUUUAGCCUAUAGGUAGUGUUGAGCGAACUUCUGUUUUCAAGUUCAGCGUACAAGAUUUGGGUUAUCUAAGUAAGAAUUGCGUUACGACAGACUACAACUUAUGGUCCGUGGUAGCGAAAUCCAUAACGGAAUUCUUAGAUAAUCCGAGCUCGAACCUUGUAUGCCAAACUUGAAAACAGAAGUUCGCUCAUCACUAUCUAUACACAAAAAAUGGCGGUGUGAAAGGUCCUCUUUAAGUAACAGAUGUCACACGGCAAUUUUUAUAACCAAUUAAAGUCUAUGAGGCUGGUCACAUGGCUGUUUCUUUAACAGCCAGAGAAUAGCGGCUGUCAGAAAGUAGGACAUGUUGUGGGAUUAGGCGUUUUUUUUUUUUUUUUUUAGCAAGUUAGCGGCGUGGCCUAGUGUAGAAACAUUUGCCGCAGCUCGCAAAGCACGCCACACAUUAUGUCCCUCUUCUCUCUUGUUGGGAGGUAUGGUGAUUGAUAGCAUUCUCUGUGUAAGUGUGUAUGCAGAGAUAGCUGUCAGUCACUGAUAGUUGUACACAGGGGUGGUCUUGAAGGGAUAUUACCAUCUCGCACAAUGAUGGCAUAUCGCUAAGAUAUGCCUUCAAUGUCAGAUAGCACCUGAUAGGUUGAUAGUGGUGCGACCCUCACCUAUCACCAGAACAAGCCCCCUGAAGUGAAGUGAGAGCAGCCAUGCAUGUACGGCCACCCUCCGCUUAUGGCUAUAGGAGUUCUGAAAGCAGCAGAGCGCUGGCUCGGCUAUUUCCAGCAGUCCCAUUGCAGUGAAUAGAGAGGUGACCUUGCAUGUGACGCUUGCUCUCUAUUCACUGCCAUGGGAGUUCUGAAAAUAGUCAAGCAAGUGCAUUUGGCUAUUUUUGGAACUCCCAUAGCAGUGAAUAGAUAGCACACUGCGCAUGUGCAGUGUGCUCUACUUUACUUGGGGGACCCCAAUCUGGCAUUGAUGGCAUAUCCUAGCGAUAUGUCAUAAAUGUCUGAGAUGGGAAUGCCUCUUUAAGUAUAGAAAGAGUAGAGGUUUAAAUGUAUAAAUGACACGUUUUACUGAACCUUUUUUCCCAUAAAACUAUAUACCAUUCUGCUUAGCUCCUCCUGCUCUAUAACAUGCUGCCCACAGAUUGCACUGCAUUUCAUGGUGACAGGUUCUUUUAAACCAGACAAAGGUUUGGCCUGAAGUAUAAAUAGGAACCAAUAUGGUUCUAGCAAAUAACAAGCAGUUAUAAAGUAGAGUUUUCUAUGCCCCUUAUGCCCCAGAGCUUUAUAAUCUGAUACCCUACCUUACAGUAUAAAGCAAGAACAAAAAUUUAGGACGCGUGCCUGAGUUUGCUACCCAGGAUAUCUGCCUUGACCCUCACAGGGUAUUAACUUUAGGGAGUCCAAAGGUGUCGGUAAUACCUGGGCCCUACUUUCACACUAGCGCUAAAGUUUUCCGCUAUUGAAUUCCGUCAUAGGGGCUCAA
RNA transcript from Bufo gargarizans (Asiatic toad), 5155 nucleotides. It is a transcript of the gene named Sp6 transcription factor, with no coding region annotated. Lineage: Eukaryota; Metazoa; Chordata; Amphibia; Anura; Bufonidae. The record is from RefSeq and is a predicted model, not a curated record. The transcript has 3 exons.